RNAcentral lists this ribosomal RNA (997 nucleotides) under uncultured bacterium. Its description in RNAcentral is "bacterial SSU rRNA". It matches the Rfam family "Bacterial small subunit ribosomal RNA", at positions 356 to 1376 of the family's 1533-position model. The record is from RNAcentral.
GGGGGAUAUUGCACAAUGGGGGAAACCCUGAUGCAGCGACGCCGCGUGAGGGAAGACGGUCCUCUGGAUUGUAAACCUCUGUCUUCGGGGACGAAACGAGACGGUACCCGAGGAGGAAGCCACGGCUAACUACGUGCCAGCAGCCGCGGUAAUACGUAGGUGGCAAGCGUUGUCCGGAAUUACUGGGUGUAAAGGGAGCGUAGGCGGGCAGGCAAGUCAGGCGUGAAAUAUAUCGGCUCAACCGGUAACGGCGCUUGAAACUGCAGGUCUUGAGUGAAGUAGAGGUUGGCGGAAUUCCUAGUGUAGCGGUGAAAUGCGUAGAUAUUAGGAGGAACACCAGUGGCGAAGGCGGCCAACUGGGCUUUUACUGACGCUGAGGCUCGAAAGUGUGGGGAGCAAACAGGAUUAGAUACCCUGGUAGUCCACACCGUAAACGAUGAUUACUAGGUGUGGGGGGACUGACCCCUUCCGUGCCGGAGUUAACACAAUAAGUAAUCCACCUGGGGAGUACGGCCGCAAGGUUGAAACUCAAAGGAAUUGACGGGGGCCCGCACAAGCAGUGGAGUAUGUGGUUUAAUUCGACGCAACGCGAAGAACCUUACCAGGUCUUGACAUCGUAUGCAUAGUGUAGAGAUACAUGAAGUCCUUCGGGACAUACAGACAGGUGGUGCAUGGUUGUCGUCAGCUCGUGUCGUGAGAUGUUGGGUUAAGUCCCGCAACGAGCGCAACCCUUGUAUUUAGUUGCUACGCAAGAGCACUCUAGAUAGACUGCCGUGGACAACACGGAGGAAGGUGGGGAUGACGUCAAAUCAUCAUGCCCCUUAUGACCUGGGCUACACACGUACUACAAUGGCAAUGGAACAGAGGGAAGCGACUCAGCGAUGAGAAGCAGAUCCCGAAAAAUUGUCUCAGUUCGGAUUGCAGGCUGCAACCCGCCUGCAUGAAGUCGGAAUUGCUAGUAAUCGCGGAUCAGCAUGCCGCGGUGAAUACGUUCCCG